RNAcentral lists this ribosomal RNA (253 nucleotides) under uncultured bacterium. RNAcentral describes it as "partial 16S ribosomal RNA". It matches the Rfam family "Bacterial small subunit ribosomal RNA", at positions 524 to 776 of the family's 1533-position model. The record is from RNAcentral.
UACGUAGGGUGCAAGCGUUAAUCGGAAUUACUGGGCGUAAAGCGUGCGCAGGCGGUGAUGUAAGACAGUUGUGAAAUCCCCGGGCUCAACCUGGGAACUGCAUCUGUGACUGCAUCGCUGGAGUGCGGCAGAGGGGGAUGGAAUUCCGCGUGUAGCAGUGAAAUGCGUAGAGAUGUGGAGGAACACCGAUGGCGAAGGCAGCCCCCUGGGCUGAGAUUGACGCUCAGGCACGAAAGCGUGGGGAGCAAACAGG